This 377-nucleotide ribosomal RNA is filed under the name uncultured bacterium. Its description in RNAcentral is "bacterial SSU rRNA". It matches the Rfam family "Bacterial small subunit ribosomal RNA", at positions 523 to 898 of the family's 1533-position model. The record is from RNAcentral.
AUACGAACCGUCCAAACGUUAUUCGGAAUCAUUGGGCUUAAAGGGUACGUAGGCGGCGCUGUAAGUCGGGUGUGAAAUCCCUCGGCUCAACCGAGGAAUUGCGCCCGAUACUGCAGUGCUUGAGGGAGACAGGGGUAAGCGGAACUGAUGGUGGAGCGGUGAAAUGCGUUGAUAUCAUCAGGAACACCAGUGGCGAAAGCGGCUUACUGGGUCUCUUCUGACGCUGAGGUACGAAAGCUAGGGUAGCGAACGGGAUUAGAUACCCCGGUAGUCCUAGCCGUAAACGUUGAGCACUUGAUCGGGGAUCCCCCCAUAGGUUCCCGGUCGUAGCGAAAGUGUUAAGUGCUCCGCCUGGGGAGUAUGGUCGCAAGGCUGAA